This is a long non-coding RNA of Homo sapiens (human), 747 nucleotides long. RefSeq annotates it as transcript overexpressed in dedifferentiated liposarcoma. The transcript is spliced from 3 exons. NCBI's taxonomy places the organism in Eukaryota, Metazoa, Chordata, Mammalia, Primates, Hominidae. The record is from RefSeq and is a predicted model, not a curated record.
GUGAAGAGCAACAGUCCCUUCUUUCUGAAUGACUGAAGAUUUAAGAGCUCUGCAUGCCCUGAACUACACUGUCCUGCGGAGGCAUUUGUUUGGGAACUGCGGCCUUGUGUGGCUCAAGCUCCAGCCGAGGAACAGAUGGUGCAGCGAGAGGGUCUUGCAGCAACUAGACCAAGAAGAAGGACACGCAGAUGCCAUUUGCUAUCAUGAGGUCUGUUUCUGCCAGCAGAAGAGUGGAGCUUCACGCCGUGACUGACAAGAUGCCUUGGCCAGCAAAGCUUUUCUCAUAUUAGAAAGAUUGGAGAGAAUUGUUUCUAUGGAAGUGGUGAACAUGGGACAGAAGUACUUCUCUCUUGAUAAGACCAGCAUGUGCAAACCAGGAAGAAAAAGUAAAAUCUCCAAUAAUAGAGAGAUAAAUCAAACAGGAAAAAAAAAAGUCUGGGUCCGAAAAACACGUGCAUUCCUGUAGCAGAGUUUAUGCGAGUUUUUUUUUCUUUUUUUCUUUUUUGUGAUGAGGUCACUAUUACUCACAUGGCUGUGUGGGAUAGACAGAGAACAUGCAUAAAUAACAAGAAAGCAAGCAUUCUAAUUUGCGCACCUUGUUUUUUUAAGAGUAUAAUCAUUGGCUGGAAUUAAUAGGAGCAGCUCUGAAUGAAUAACUUACUCAGCAUGUAAGUGAAAUAACUGAGAUUAGAAUCCUGAAUUGUUACCUUGGGCCUGGAGCAUUUACCUCCUUCUCUACCUGCUUAU